AAUUUUGAGGGGUGAGCAGGAGGUACCAGACUCGAUGAUUUUCCAUCGAAAUGUCGGAAAAGUCAGGCCAGAGUACAAAAGCAAAGGAUGGAAAAACGAAGUAUGCAACACUCAGUCUGUUUAAUACUUACAAGGGAAAGUCACUGGAAACUCAGAAAACCACAGUUGCUGCACGCCAUGGAUUACAGAGUCUUGGAAAAGUUGCUAUUUCAAGGAGGAUGCCUCCCCCAGCAAACCUCCCCAGUCUCAAAGCAGAGAACAAAGGCAAUGACCCUAAUGUGAACAUUGUGCCUAAAGACGGCACAGGAUGGGCUUCAAAACAAGAACAACACGAAGAA
Long non-coding RNA from Calidris pugnax (ruff), 338 nucleotides. RefSeq lists it as uncharacterized. The record is from RefSeq and is a predicted model, not a curated record. NCBI's taxonomy places the organism in Eukaryota, Metazoa, Chordata, Aves, Charadriiformes, Scolopacidae. The transcript is spliced from 2 exons.